UACGUAGGUGGCGAGCGUUGUCCGGAAUUACUGGGCGUAAAGGGCGUGUAGGCGGCCUUUUAAGUCAGAUGUGAAAUCUCAGGGCUUAACCCUGAAACUGCAUUUGAAACUGGAGGGCUUGAGGAUCGGAGAGGGCAGUGGAAUUCCCAGUGUAGCGGUGAAAUGCGUAGAUAUUGGGAGGAACACCAGUGGCGAAGGCGACUGCCUGGACGACACCUGACGCUGAGGCGCGAAAGCUAGGGGAGCAAACGGGAUUAGAUACCCCGGUAGUCCUAGCCGUAAACGAUGGGUACUAGGUGUGGGAGGUAUCGACCCCUUCCGUGCCGCAGUUAACACAAUAAGUACCCCGCCUGGGGAGUACGGCCGCAAGGUUGAA
This 376-nucleotide ribosomal RNA is filed under the name uncultured bacterium. RNAcentral's name for it is "bacterial SSU rRNA". It matches the Rfam family "Bacterial small subunit ribosomal RNA", at positions 524 to 898 of the family's 1533-position model. The record is from RNAcentral.